AGAGUUUGAUCCUGGCUCAGAUUGAACGCUGGCGGCAUGCCUUACACAUGCAAGUCGAACGGUAACGCGGGGCAACCUGGCGACGAGUGGCGAACGGGUGAGUAAUAUAUCGGAACGUGCCCAGUAGUGGGGGAUAGCCCGGCGAAAGCCGGAUUAAUACCGCAUGAGACCUGAGGGUGAAAGCGGGGGACUCGCAAGAGCCUCGCGCUAUUGGAGCGGCCGAUAUCAGAUUAGCUAGUUGGUGGGGUAAAGGCCUACCAAGGCGACGAUCUGUAUCCGGUCUAAGAGGACGGUCGGACACACUGACACUGAAUAACGGGUCAGACUCCUACGGGAGGCAGCAGUCGGGAAUUUUGGGCAAUGGGGGAAACCCUGACCCAGCAACGCCGCGUGAAGGAUGAAGUAUUUCGGUAUGUAAACUUCGAAAGAAUAGGAAGAAUUAAUGACGGUACUAUUUAUAAGGUCCGGCUAACUACGUGCCAGCAGCCGCGGUAAU
Molecule: ribosomal RNA, 496 nt
Filed under: uncultured bacterium
Lineage: Bacteria
Description: bacterial SSU rRNA
Rfam family: Bacterial small subunit ribosomal RNA
Source: RNAcentral